RNAcentral lists this unclassified non-coding RNA (374 nucleotides) under uncultured fungus. Its description in RNAcentral is "partial contains small subunit ribosomal RNA, internal transcribed spacer 1, and 5.8S ribosomal RNA". The stretch from base 1 to 73 matches the Rfam family "Eukaryotic small subunit ribosomal RNA", at positions 1759 to 1831 of the family's 1831-position model. The record is from RNAcentral. Lineage: Eukaryota; Fungi.
UCAAACUUGGUCAUUUAGAGGAAGUAAAAGUCGUAACAAGGUUUCCGUAGGUGAACCUGCGGAAGGAUCAUUAGUGAAUAAACCUGCGUGGGUUGUUGCUGGCUCCUUCGGGGGCAUGUGCACAUCUGCCAGUUGUUUCAUCACCCCCUUCCACCUGUGCACUUCUUGUAGAUCAGCCCGUCGCCUCAGGUGGGUACCUAUUCCCCUGGCAUACGAGGGCUUGCCUCUGGCUGUCCUUGAACGGGAUACGGUCUACGUCUUUAAUCAACUCUGUAUGGUAUUGGAUGUCUGCUUGGGAUCUUUGUAAGACCCAUAAAAUCUAUACAACUUUCAACAACGGAUCUCUUGGCUCUCGCAUCGAUGAAGAACGCAGC